This 1466-nucleotide ribosomal RNA is filed under the name Merismopedia tenuissima 0BB46S01. RNAcentral's name for it is "bacterial SSU rRNA". It matches the Rfam family "Bacterial small subunit ribosomal RNA". The record is from RNAcentral. Lineage: Bacteria; Bacillati; Cyanobacteriota; Cyanophyceae; Synechococcales; Merismopediaceae.
UGGCUCAGGAUGAACGCUGGCGGCGUGCUUAACACAUGCAAGUCGAACGCACCUUCGGGUGAGUGGCGGACGGGUGAGUAACGCGUGGGAACCUGCCCUCAGGAGGGGGAUAACGGCUGGAAACGGCCGCUAAUACCCCAUAUGCCGAGAGGUGAAAUGAAAUUCGCCUGAGGAUGGGCCCGCGUCUGAUUAGCUAGUUGGUGGGGUAAGAGCCUACCAAGGCGACGAUCAGUAGCUGGUCUGAGAGGAUGAUCAGCCACACUGGGACUGAGACACGGCCCAGACUCCUACGGGAGGCAGCAGUGGGGAAUUUUCCGCAAUGGGCGAAAGCCUGACGGAGCAACGCCGCGUGAGGGAUGAAGGCCUCUGGGCUGUAAACCUCUUUUCUCAAGGAAGAAGAACUGACGGUACUUGAGGAAUAAGCCACGGCUAAUUCCGUGCCAGCAGCCGCGGUAAUACGGGAGUGGCAAGCGUUAUCCGGAAUUAUUGGGCGUAAAGCGUCCGCAGGUGGCCUUGUAAGUCUGUCGUUAAAGCGUGGAGCUUAACUCCAUUUCGGCGAUGGAAACUACAAGGCUAGAGUGUGGUAGGGGCAGAGGGAAUUCCCGGUGUAGCGGUGAAAUGCGUAGAUAUCGGGAAGAACACCAGUGGCGAAGGCGCUCUGCUGGGCCAUCACUGACACUCAUGGACGAAAGCCAGGGGAGCGAAAGGGAUUAGAUACCCCUGUAGUCCUGGCCGUAAACGAUGAACACUAGGUGUCGGGGGAAUCGACCCCCUCGGUGUCGUAGCCAACGCGUUAAGUGUUCCGCCUGGGGAGUACGCACGCAAGUGUGAAACUCAAAGGAAUUGACGGGGGCCCGCACAAGCGGUGGAGUAUGUGGUUUAAUUCGAUGCAACGCGAAGAACCUUACCAGGGUUUGACAUCCUGCGAAUCCCUUGGAAACGAGGGAGUGCCUUCGGGAGCGCAGAGACAGGUGGUGCAUGGCUGUCGUCAGCUCGUGUCGUGAGAUGUUGGGUUAAGUCCCGCAACGAGCGCAACCCACGUCGUUAGUUGCCAGCAUUCAGUUGGGCACUCUAGCGAGACCGCCGGUGAUAAACCGGAGGAAGGUGUGGAUGACGUCAAGUCAUCAUGCCCCUUACAUCCUGGGCUACACACGUACUACAAUGCUACGGACAAAGGGCAGCGAGCUCGCGAGAGUAAGCAAAUCCCAUAAACCGUGGCUCAGUUCAGAUCGUAGGCUGCAACUCGCCUACGUGAAGGAGGAAUCGCUAGUAAUCGCAGGUCAGCAUACUGCGGUGAAUACGUUCCCGGGCCUUGUACACACCGCCCGUCACACCAUGGAAGUUGGCCACGCCCGAAGUCGUUACUCCAACCCUUGUGGAGGAGGACGCCGAAGGUGGGGCUGAUGACUGGGGUGAAGUCGUAACAAGGUAGCCGUACCGGAAGGUGCGGCUGGAUCACCUCCUAA